This 2101-nucleotide ribosomal RNA is filed under the name Candidatus Omnitrophica bacterium CG_4_10_14_0_2_um_filter_44_9. RNAcentral's name for it is "bacterial LSU rRNA". It matches the Rfam family "Bacterial large subunit ribosomal RNA", at positions 1 to 1999 of the family's 2925-position model. The record is from RNAcentral. Lineage: Bacteria; Pseudomonadati; Candidatus Omnitrophota.
AAUUUUUGGUCAAGCUACAAAGAGUCUAUGAGGAAUGACUUGGUCAAUUAAGGCGAAGAAGGACGUGGUAAGCGGCGAUACGCCCGGAGGAGCUGCAAACAAGCUUUGAUUCCGGGAUGUCCGAAUGGGGCAACCCAUCCCGAGUAAUGUUGGGAUAUCCCGUAUUAAAUUAAAUAGGUGCGGGAAGCGAAACCGGGGGAAGUGAAACAUCUCAGUACCCUGAGGAAGAGAAACCGAAUGGUAUUCCCUUAGUAGCGGCGAGCGAAGCGGGAAGAGCCUAAAUUUCGAUGACGCAAUAGCCUGUGCGCGUUGUCAUCGGAACGUUGUGGGACUGUUUAGAUACCUGUACAGAGGCAUCGGGAAGUAAAAAAAUCUCUAUUCAGCAGAAAGAUUUGGAAAAGUCUGCCAAAGAAGGUGAAAGCCCGGUAUGCGAAAAGUAGAGAUCUUCCUUGAACGGUAUCCCGAGUACUACGGAGCACGCGAAAUUCCGUAGGAAUCCGCCCUGACCACAGGGCAAGGCUAAAUACUCUAAUUGGACCGAUAGUGCACAAGUACCGUGAGGGAAAGUUGAAAAGAACCCCAGUGAGGGGAGUGAAAUAGAACCUGAAUUCAUAGACUUACAAGCGGUCGGAGCCCUAUGUCACGCGCAAGCGUGGAACGGGUGACGGCGUGCCUUUUGCAUAAUGAACCGGCGAGUUAUACAGAUAAGCAAGCUUAAUCCUCUUUAGGGGAGGAGGCGUAGGGAAACCGAGUCUGAAUAGGGCGAUUAGUUUGUCUGUAUAGACCCGAAGCUGAGUGAUCUACCCAUGACCAGUGCGAAGUGUACCGAAAGGUACAUGGAGGUACGAACCCAUGAAUGUUGAAAAAUUCCGGGAUGAGUUGUGGGUCGGAGUGAAAGGCUAAUCAAACUCAGGAAUUGCUGGUUCUCCUCGAAACGUCUUUAGGGACGGCCUUGAGUAAAUGAGCGAUGAGUGUAGAGUGCUGAAUGGGCUAGGGACCCCACCAGGUUGCCAAACCCAACCAAACUCCGAAAAUCAUCGUUUCUUAUCUCGGGAGACAGACAGUGCGGGCUAAGCUGCAUUGUCAAAAGGGAGACAGCCCAGACCGCCAGUUAAGGUCCCAAAGGAUAGGCUAAGUGGUAAAGGAUGUGGGGUAACAUAGACAACCAGGAUGUUGGCUCAGAGGCAGCCAUCAUUUAAAGAGUGCGUAACAGCUCACUGGUCGAGUUAUUCUGCGCCUAAGAUAAUCGGGGCUCAAGCCUAUUACCGAAACUGCGGAUUUACCCCGCCUUAGGGCGGGGCAAGUGGUAGAGGAGCGUACUGUUGUAGGUUGAAGGUGGACCGAGAGGACCACUCGACGAAGCAGUAGUGAUUAUGUCGGUAUGAGUAGCGCAAAUCACGGCGAGAAACCGUGACGCCGAAAGUCUAAGGUUUCCUGGGGAAGGUUAAUCCGCCCAGGGUGAGUCGAUCCUAAGCCGAGGCUGUUGAACGCGUAGGCGAUGGAUAUCCGGUUAAUAUCCCGGAACUGGUCAAAGGCGCUAUUACUUUGAUGUUGACGCAGGAGGUUGGGGUCAGCGGACUGUUGGAUGUGUCCGUCUAAGCCUGUAGUUUUAUCCGCAAGGGUAAGAUGAGGGGUGAAUGCGAAGCCGAUCUACGGAAAGGCUGAAGUGAUCUUAGGCCACACUGUCGAGAAAAUUCAUCAAAGGAGCCUUUGUCCAAUCGUACCGCAAUCCGACACAGGUAGACUUCCAUAAUAUGGUAAGGCGAUCGAGAGAACCCUCGUUAAGGAACUCGGCAAUCUAGCCUCGUAAGUUCGCAAGAAGAGGUGCCCUAAUGUGUGUAGCCCAUACGGGUGAAGCAUGAUAGGGUUUCAAUGAAGUGGCUCUGGUGACUGUUUAGCAAAAACCAAGCACUCUGCUAACUCGAAAGAGGACGUAUAGGGUGUGACACCUGCCCGGUGCUGGAAGGUUAAGGAGAGAGGUUAGCCCGUCGUAAGGCGAGUCGAAGCUUCGAACCGAAGCCCCAGUAAACGGCGGCCGUAACUAUAACGGUCCUAAGGUAGCGAAAUUCCUUGUGGGGUAAGUUCCCACGCGCACGAAUGG